RNAcentral lists this ribosomal RNA (1808 nucleotides) under human gut metagenome. RNAcentral describes it as "bacterial LSU rRNA". It matches the Rfam family "Bacterial large subunit ribosomal RNA", at positions 18 to 1996 of the family's 2925-position model. The record is from RNAcentral.
CAUUUGGCGAAUGCCUAGGCAAUCAGAGGCGAAGAAGGACGUGAUACACUGCGAAAAGCCGUGGGGAGCUGUGAAUAAGCAUUGAUCCGCGGAUGUCCGAAUGGGGAAACCCGGCCGCAAGGUCACUUUCACACGAAUACAUAGUGUAGAAAGAGCGAACGCAGGGAACUGAAACAUCUAAGUACCUGUAGGAAAGGAAAUCAACCGAGACUCCGAAAGUAGUGGCGAGCGAAAUCGGACCAGCCGAUGGAUUUAUUAAUAAGAAUUGGAAGCAUCUGGAAAGUUGCACCAAAGAAGGUGAUAGUCCUGUACAAGUAGAAAGUUAAUAAAUUCUUGAGUAAGGCGGAGCACGAGAAAUUCUGUCUGAAAAUGGGGAGACCACUCUCCAAGGCUAAGUACUACUGAUUGACCGAUAGUGAACAAGUACCGUGAGGGAAAGGUGAAAAGCACCCCUAUAAGGGGAGUGAAAGAGAACCUGAAACCGAAUGCUUACAAGCAGUCGGAGGGUCUUUAAGGCCUGACGGCGUACCUUUUGUAUAAUGGGUCAGCGACUUAGUGUAUGUAGCAAGCUUAAGCCGAUAGGUGUAGGCGUAGCGAAAGCGAGUUUUAAUAGAGCGAUAAGUUACAUGCAUUAGACCCGAAACCGAGUGAUCUAGCCAUGAGCAGGUUGAAGGUUGGGUAACACCAACUGGAGGACCGCACCCAUAUCUGUUGAAAAAGAUAGGGAUGACUUGUGGCUAGGGGUGAAAGGCCAAUCAAACUCGGAAAUAGCUGGUUCUCCGCGAAAACUAUUUAGGUAGUGCGGUGAGCGGACACCUUGAGGGGUAGAGCACUGAAAGAGCUAAGGGGGAGCGAUCCUUACUAAACUUUAUCAAACUCCGAAUACUCAAGAGUGAUACUCACCAGACAGACAUUAGGUGCUAAGGUCUAGUGUCGAGAGGGAAAGAGCCCAGACCGUCAAUUAAGGUCCCAAAAUUAUGGCUAAGUGGUAAAGGAAGUGAAUUGUCCAAAACAGUCAGGAGGUUGGCUUAGAAGCAGCCAUCCUUUAAAGAAAGCGUAAUAGCUCACUGAUCUAAACAAGACGAUUUGCGCCGAAGAUGUAACGGGGCUAAAGCCAUAUACCGAAAUUACGGAUUUACACGUAAGUGUAAGUGGUAGCGGAGCGUUCUGUAGGCCUGCGAAGGUGAACCGUAAGGUUUGCUGGAGGUAUCAGAAGUGAGAAUGCUGACAUGAGUAGCGAAAAGAAGAGUGAGAGACUCUUCCGCUGAAAGUCCAAGGUUUCCUGCGUAAAGCUAAUCUGCGCAGGGUUAGUCGGCCCCUAAGGCGAGGCAGAGAUGCGUAGUCGAUGGGAAUCAGGUUAAUAUUCCUGAACCAACUAGGAAGUGACGGAUUCAGUAAAUUGUAUGUCCUUAUUGGAUUGGAUAUGCAGUGAAUGAGUUCCAGGAAAUAGCCCUAGUAUAGACCGUACCCCAAACCGACACAGGUGGACAGGUAGAGAAUACCAAAGCGCUUGAGAGAACUAUGUUGAAGGAACUAGGCAAAAUACUUGCGUAACUUCGGGAUAAGCAAGCCCCAUUUUAAGGCAACUUAAGGUGGGGGGCACAUACUAGGGGGUAGCGACUGUUUACUAAAAACACAGGACUCUGCUAAAUUGAAAGAUGAAGUAUAGGGUCUGACGCCUGCCCGGUGCUGGAAGGUUAAGGAGAGAUGUGAGAGCAUUAAACUGAAGCCCCAGUAAACGGCGGCCGUAACAAUAACGGUCCUAAGGUAGCGAAAUUCCUUGUCGGGUAAGUUCCGACCUGCACGAA